This 429-nucleotide ribosomal RNA is filed under the name uncultured bacterium. RNAcentral's name for it is "bacterial SSU rRNA". It matches the Rfam family "Bacterial small subunit ribosomal RNA", at positions 917 to 1349 of the family's 1533-position model. The record is from RNAcentral.
GGGCCCGCACAAGCGGUGGAGCAUGUGGUUUAAUUCGAUGCAACGCGAAGAACCUUACCUACACUUGACAUGCUGAGAAGUUACUAGAGAUAGUUUCGUGCCUUCGGGAACUCAGACACAGGUGCUGCAUGGCUGUCGUCAGCUCGUGUCGUGAGAUGUUGGGUUAAGUCCCGCAACGAGCGCAACCCUUGUCCUUAGUUGCCAGCCUUAAGUUGGGCACUCUAAGGAGACUGCCGGUGUUAAACCGGAGGAAGGUGGGGAUGACGUCAAGUCCUCAUGGCCUUUAUGCCUGGGGCUGCACACGUCCUACAAUGCGGCGUACAAAGCGAUGCAAGAUCGUGAGAUGGAGCAAACCGCAGAAACGCCGCCCAGUUCGGAUUGCAGGCUGAAUUCGCCUGCAUGAAGCCGGAAUCGCUAGUAAUCGCGGAU